AGCUCCAAUAGCGUAUAUUAAAGUUGCUGCAGUUAAAGCUCGUAGUUGCAUUUCCGAGGCAAGGGAUUAGUCCGACCUUUGGUGGGUAUUUAAUCCUCUUGCCUCGUCCUUGAGUGGUGCUUCUUGGUAUUAAGUUAUCGAGGAGAUAGCCGCUCAUCGUUUACUGUGAGAAAAUUAGAGUGUUCAAAGCAGGCUUAUGCCGUUGAAUAUAUUAGCAUGGAAUAAUAAGAUAGGACCUCGGUACUAUUUUGUUGGUUUGAGAACCAAGGUAAUGAUGAAUAGGGACAGUUGGGGGUAUUCGUAUUCAGUUGUCAGAGGUGAAAUUCUUAGAUUUACGGAAGACGAACUACUGCGAAAGCAUUUACCAAGGAUGUUUUCA
This 379-nucleotide ribosomal RNA is filed under the name uncultured marine Chaetocerotaceae. RNAcentral describes it as "SSU rRNA". It matches the Rfam family "Eukaryotic small subunit ribosomal RNA", at positions 587 to 972 of the family's 1831-position model. Lineage: Eukaryota; Bacillariophyta; Thalassiosirophyceae; Chaetocerotales; Chaetocerotaceae. The record is from RNAcentral.